GCCAGCAGCCAUAUCACCCUGCAACUCACCAGCUCAGCAGGUGUGAGCCUGGUCAGUACCUGGAUGGGAGACCUCCUGGGAAAAACUAAGGUUGCUGCUGGAA
RNAcentral lists this ribosomal RNA (103 nucleotides) under Lepisosteus oculatus (spotted gar). The record is from RNAcentral. Lineage: Eukaryota; Metazoa; Chordata; Actinopteri; Semionotiformes; Lepisosteidae.